Non-coding RNA from Physcomitrium patens, 958 nucleotides. Lineage: Eukaryota; Viridiplantae; Streptophyta; Bryopsida; Funariales; Funariaceae. The record is from RefSeq and is a predicted model, not a curated record.
GGAUUCUUUCCCACGGCAAACAGGUUGAGAGGUAACUGGUACCAAACGUCAGGUAUUCUCUCAUGGCUCCUACAACGUCAUGACUCUGCAGACAUGCAAUCAUUUUCCUUACAUGUUGUUUACAUAGUUGAUCAUGUGGGCUACUUACCCUGGAUAACCGACUAAAUUAAAACCAACAACAGAAGACAGAAGAAACGGAGUGGGAAUUUUCGUCUUACUCCAAUUCCUGGCAGCAGUGGGAAGCUGCAGUGUAGAAGUGAAAGUUGACAGUGAGAUAAGAGUUGGUUGCAACGAAAAUCACAAUUCAGCUCUCAUAUUCUCAACAUGGCUAUAUUCCGCAGCAAUGAUGCACGUGAUGAGCGAACUAACUUAGCGGAAGCUAAGCGUUCAACAUCAUCGUCUGGGUACUCUCUAACAUUGACCAUUGUGGUAUAGAGACAAAGAUUGACUACAAACACUGGUGAAGAUGGACUUUGCCUCAUUGAAGGUUGUGAGCAGAUAUGUUACAUCCAACCGACAAUUUUACUCGAGGUGACCCAUGCAUGCGAACGCUGAAUGCAUGAUGGCUCUCCGGGUACACGCUGAGAGAGGAAUUGAAGCCAAAAUAGAUUCUUCAUUUCUGACCAAAAUCACCGCGGAAAUCAAAGACCUUCGUCUGUUAUACCUCAAGAGUAUCACACAGGUGAAGAAUCUGCAUCAUAUCGUAGCGGAUGCAAAUGAAUAAUCUCAAAUGCUGUAGAUCCACUCAUGUUCCUACAAUCCCACGCUCUUCUCAGGCCAAAGUUCCCUUCAGAGGGUCACGAGCUCACACCACGCAUGGCAUUGCUCAAAACCUCUCCUCCCACACCAACAAUAACACCAGCUGCGCCACCAUCCGUACCAAGUAGAGGUUCUCCCACUGGUCACACAAGUAGGACAGGGUCCGGCUCCGAGUCAAGGAGCUGGAGGAGUACGCUUU